This 253-nucleotide ribosomal RNA is filed under the name uncultured bacterium. RNAcentral describes it as "partial 16S ribosomal RNA". It matches the Rfam family "Bacterial small subunit ribosomal RNA", at positions 524 to 776 of the family's 1533-position model. The record is from RNAcentral.
UACGUAGGGUGCGAGCGUUAAUCGGAAUUACUGGGCGUAAAGCGUGCGCAGGCGGUUCGUUGUGUCGGCGGUGAAAGCCCCGGGCUUAACCUGGGAAUGGCCGUUGAAACUGGCGAACUGGAGUGUGGCAGAGGGGGGUAGAAUUCCACGUGUAGCAGUGAAAUGCGUAGAGAUGUGGAGGAAUACCAAUGGCGAAGGCAGCCCCCUGGGAUAAUAUUGACGCUCAUGCACGAAAGCGUGGGGAGCAAACAGG